This 253-nucleotide ribosomal RNA is filed under the name uncultured bacterium. RNAcentral describes it as "partial 16S ribosomal RNA". It matches the Rfam family "Bacterial small subunit ribosomal RNA", at positions 524 to 776 of the family's 1533-position model. The record is from RNAcentral.
UACGGAGGGUGCAAGCGUUGUCCGGAUUUAUUGGGUUUAAAGGGUGCGUAGGCGGCCCGUUAAGUCAGCGGUGAAAUCCCGGGGCUCAACCCCGGAACUGCCGUUGAUACUGGCGGGCUUGAGUUCGGUCGAGGCGGGCGGAACUGGCGGUGUAGCUGUGAAAUGCUUAGAUACCGCCAAGAACCCCGAUUGCGUAGGCAGCUCGCUUGGCCGAAACUGACGCUGAGGCACGAAAGCGUGGGGAGCGAACAGG